Molecule: ribosomal RNA, 253 nt
Filed under: uncultured bacterium
Lineage: Bacteria
Description: partial 16S ribosomal RNA
Rfam family: Bacterial small subunit ribosomal RNA
Source: RNAcentral
UACAGAGGGGGCAAGCGUUGUUCGGAAUUACUGGGCGUAAAGGGCGCGUAGGCGGCCUGUUAAGUCGGACGUGAAAUCCCCGGGCUCAACCCGGGAACUGCGUCCGAUACUGGCAGGCUUGAAUCCGGGAGAGGGAUGUGGAAUUCCAGGUGUAGCGGUGAAAUGCGUAGAGAUCCGGAGGAACACCGACGGCGAAGGCAGCGCCCUGGACGAGACCUGACGCUCAGGCACGAAAGCUGGGGGAGCAAACAGG